Long non-coding RNA from Dreissena polymorpha, 1319 nucleotides. RefSeq lists it as uncharacterized. The record is from RefSeq and is a predicted model, not a curated record. Lineage: Eukaryota; Metazoa; Mollusca; Bivalvia; Myida; Dreissenidae. The transcript is spliced from 3 exons.
AAAAUGGUUAACUAGUUUUUCAUGAGCGGCUUGAAAUAUAAAUAAUUUUGAAACAUUUAUUUCCUAUUUUUAUUAGCCCAUAGGCCAUGAUUUGGUACCAGUAGUUUGUCAAAAUUUGAGUCCUUUGUACACUUGGACAUGGACAUGUACUUUAUAUAGGAAGGUCAAAAUGUAAGGGCCUUUGUUCACUUAAACAUGAACAUCAUGCUUUAUAUACUAGUAUAGGAAUGACAUGAACAUAAUACUCUAUAUAGGAAUGACAUGAACAUAAUACACUAUAUAGGAAUGACAUGACCAUAAUACUUUAUAUAGGAAUGACAUGAACAUAAAACUCUAUAUAGGAAUGACAUGAAAAUAAUACUCUAUAUAGGCAUGUUAAAAUGUAAGAGGCCUUUGUGCCCUUGAACAUGAAAAUAAUACUCUUAUAGGCAGGUUAAAAUGUUAGAAGCCUUUGUGCAUUUGAACAUAAUACUCGUAUAGGCAGGUUAAAAUGUUAGAGGCCUUUGUGCAUUUGAACAUAAUACUCGUAUAGGCAGGUUAAAAUGUUAGAGGCCUUUGUGCAUUUGAACAUAAUACUCGUAUAGGCAGGUUAAAAUGUUAGAGGCCUUUGUGCAUUUGAACAUAAUACUCGUAUAGGCAGGUUAAAAUGUUAGAGGCCUUUGUGCAUUUGAACAUAAUACUCGUAUAGGCAGGUUAAAAUGUUAGAGGCCUUUGUGCAUUUGAACAUAAUACUCGUAUAGGCAGGUUAAAAUGUUAGAGGCCUUUGUGCAUUUGAACAUAAUACUCGUAUAGGCAGGUUAAAAUUUUAGAAGCCUUUGUGCAUUUGAACAUGAACAUAAAACUCUUAUAGGCAGGUUAAAAUGUUAGAGGCCUUUGUACACUUGAACAUGAACAUAAAACUCUUAUAGGCAGGGUAAAAUAUUAGAGGCCUUUGUACACUUGAACAUGAACAUAAAACUCUUAUAGGCAGGGUAAAAUGUUAAGAGGCCUUUGUACACUUGGACAUGAACAUAAUACUCUGUAUAGGCAGGUUUUAAGUAUUUUUAGGUGUUUGUAUUCUUAGACAAUAAUUUUUACUCCAAAUGUGCACAUUUAAGUGAAAGAAGCGUUUGAAUGCUUGGAAAUUAACACAAACUCUACAUGUAACCCAAGUCUGAUAACUAUAGUAUAAAAUAAGUUUAAACAAAUAGGGUUGUGGUUAAUGAUGUAUGAAGGUAAGCUGGUUUCUAAUUGUAGUUUUGAAAUGUUUAAAAUACCCCUGGUUUAAAAUGUUUAUAAUACCACUGGAAACCAAGUUUGAGCAAGUAUUUGACUGCCUG